CACUCAUUCACGCCUCUUUCAGGUCCCUCACUCUCAUCUCAACUCUCUAUCGAUGGUGUCUCUCUCUCUUCUCUUUAUCAUCUCAGACUGAGUUCUCUCUCACACUCUCAUCCAUCUCAGAUCAGAUCGGUGUACUGCUGCUCGUCUCUCUCUGUCGAUCAUCCAUCUCAGAUUAGAUCGAUAGCUAUAGCUAUUGUCUCUCUCUUUCGAUCGGUGGAUUUAAUCUCAAAUUGAUUGUUCAUGUCAUCUACAAUGGAUUUGGUAAAUAUGUCAAGUACCGGAGACACAAAUGAUGUAAUUGACCUCUCUCAGUCUCAAUCUGAUAAAGAACAUGAUCCUCAGCCUGAAACUCCUUCAGGUUCAAAGGUAUGCCCCCCCUCAUCCUAAGCCAAAAUCUAGACAAUAUUCUGAAGUUUGGGAGUAUUUUACCAAAAUUUUUAAAGAAGGGAGUAAGACUGCUGCAUGUGCUAAAUGUAACCAUUGUAAAGCUUCUUAUGCUCGAAUUAGUGGAAAUGAAACUAUCACUUUGAGAAAACAUAUUGAAAAUUGUCCUAAGUCCCCUUAGAAUAAAGAAAAAAAAAAGACUUUGGCAUUUCAAUCUGUAACCGAAGGUGAAAAAACUCUUGGAGUUUGGAAAUUUGAUCAACAAGCAUGUAGGAAUUCACUUGUUAAAAUGGUAAUCACUGAUGAGUUGCCAUUUAGUUUUGUAGAGCGUGAAGGAUUCCAUCAAUUUUGUAGUGUGAUGCAACCUAAUUUCAAAAAGUUUUCACGCUUUACAGUAGCAAGGGAUAUUGUGGAUUUAUAUUGUAGUGAGAAGAAAAAAUUGAAAAAUGUGUUGAAGAAUGCAAACUAUAGACUUUGCCUCACUACAGAUUCAUGGACAUCUCUACAAAAUGUUUCAUACAUGUGCCUAACAGCCCACUUUAUUGAUAAAGACUGGAAUUUGCAAAAAAGAAUUCUCAACUUUAGUGUGAUUUCUAGUGACAAAGGGGAGGCAAUUGGUAAGGCAGUGGAAUCAUGUUUAGUUGAUUGGGGUAUAGAGAAGAUUAGUACAAUCACUGUGGAUAAUGCAAGUGCAAAUGAUGUAGCUAUUGCAUAUGUGAAAAGGAAGUUUUCAAAAAACAUUGACUCUUUGAUUUUAAGGAGUGAGUACUUGCAUAUGAGGUGUUGUGCCCAUAUAAUUAAUUUAAUUGUCAAGGAUGGGUUAAGUGAAAUAAAAGAUUCAAUAACUCAAAUUCGUGAUGCGGUGAAGUAUGCAAGGAGUUCUCCACAACGAGAGCAAUUUUUCAAGACAAGUGCUGAAACAAAGAGGGUAACAUGUAAAAGCUUGUUGUGCCUAGAUGUUCAAACUAGGUGGAACUCCACAUACUAAUGCUAGAUGUUGCAACAAAGUUUCAAAAAGUAUUUGAGAGAUUAGAGGAUGAGGACCCACAUUUCAAACUAGAACUUAAUCAUGGACCUCCUACCUCUCAAGAUUGGGAAGAUGCUCAUGUUUUUACACAAUUUUUGCAAAAGUUUUAUGAUGCAACUGUUCGCUUGUCUGGUUCUUUGUAUGUCACUUCCAACUUGUACUUCACUGAAGUUUGUGGUAUAGAAAGUGCCUUAACUGAAUGGGCAAAGAGUUUAGAUCCUUCUUUUGAAAGCAUAGCAAUAAAAAUGAAGACUAAAUUUGACAAGUAUUGGGGAAAAAUUGAAAAAAUAAAUAUGAUGUUAUUGAUUGCUAUUGUGUUAGAUCCUCGUUAUAAGUUGAAGUAUGUGAGGUUUUGUUAUUUUGAAGUUUAUCAACUUGCCAUGGUGAAUGAGCUCACUCAAAAAGUAAAAGAGACUUUGAAUAACAUUUUUGAUGAGUAUAAACAGUUUGAGACAGUUGCUUCAUCUUCCAAUGAAAUGGUUCAUGAGGUAGACAUUGUUGAUCAAGUAAACAUUGGUGCAAGUGAGCACCAAGUGUCUCUUAUGACAAAAUUUCAAAAGCUUUUGGAGGAAGAAGAAGGUGACGGAGAAAAGUCAGAAGUAGAUAGGUAUUUGGAAGAAUCUUGUAAAAAGGAAGUUGUAAACUUUGACAUCUUAAGUUGGUGGAAGACAAAUUCUUUCUCAAGUUGCUAGGGAUAUUUUGGCCAUUCAUGUCUCUACUGUUGCUUCUGAGUCUACUUUCAGCAUAGGAGGUCGUAUCCUUGACCAAUUUCGUAGUUCUCUUACUCCAAAACUUGUUGAAAGUUUAAUUUGUACACAAGAUUGGUUGCGUACUUCGCCAUUGCGACUUCAGAUGGAAGAAAACUUUGCAGAUUUGAAGGACAUAGAAAGAGCUCUAACCAAUGUUAACAUAGCUGCUGGAAAGUGAUUUGGUCUGCUGGAAAUCACCUAUUACUGCUGCUGUUGCGUUGCUGCUGCCACUGCAUUGUUGUGGUGCUUUUGUUUGUCAUUCUUAAGCUAUGCUGCUGUCAACAUGCCUUUGUUUAUUUAUUUGUUUUUGUCUAAAACUACUUUAUAUUUGUUUUCUUAGAAUUUGUGGAAAAGGGAAAUGUAAUGUCUACUACUAUUGAAUUUGGUUGUUGUUAGCUACUAUUGUUGAUGUGUGUUUGCUUGGAAUGGAUGUUUUCUUAGAA
Molecule: non-coding RNA, 2603 nt
Organism: Camellia sinensis
Lineage: Eukaryota; Viridiplantae; Streptophyta; Magnoliopsida; Ericales; Theaceae
Source: RefSeq, a predicted model, not a curated record